This 369-nucleotide ribosomal RNA is filed under the name uncultured bacterium. Its description in RNAcentral is "bacterial SSU rRNA". It matches the Rfam family "Bacterial small subunit ribosomal RNA", at positions 527 to 898 of the family's 1533-position model. The record is from RNAcentral.
GUAGGUGGCGAGCGUUGUCCGGAUUUAUUGGGUUUAAAGGGUGCGUAGGCGGCCUAUUAAGUCAGUGCUGAAAUAUCCCGGCUUAACCGGGAGGGUGGCAUUGAUACUGAUGGGCUUGAAUGAAGUUGAAGUGGGCGGAAUUGACGGUGUAGCGGUGAAAUGCUUAGAUAUCGUCAAGAACACCGAUAGUGAAGACAGCUCACUAAGCUUAUAUUGACGCUGAGGCACGAAAGUGUGGGGAUCAAACAGGAUUAGAUACCCUGGUAGUCCACACCGUAAACGUUGAUUACUCGCUGUUGGCGAUACACAGCCAGCGGCCAAGCGCAAGCGAUAAGUAAUCCACCUGGGGAGUACGCCGGCAACGGUGAA